This 497-nucleotide ribosomal RNA is filed under the name uncultured bacterium. RNAcentral describes it as "partial 16S ribosomal RNA". It matches the Rfam family "Bacterial small subunit ribosomal RNA", at positions 28 to 507 of the family's 1533-position model. The record is from RNAcentral.
GAUGAACGCUGGCGGCGUGCCUAAUACAUGCAAGUCGAGCGAACGGACGAGAAGCUUGCUUCUCUGAUGUUAGCGGCGGACGGGUGAGUAACACGUGGAUAACCUACCUAUAAGACUGGGAUAACUUCGGGAAACCGGAGCUAAUACCGGAUAAUAUUUUAAACCGCAUGGUUCAAAAGUGAAAGACGGUCUUGCUGUCACUUAUAGAUGGAUCCGCGCUGCAUUAGCUAGUUGGUAAGGUAACGGCUUACCAAGGCAACGAUGCAUAGCCGACCUGAGAGGGUGAUCGGCUACACUGGAACUGAGACACGGUCCAGACUACUACGGGAGGCAGCAGUAGGGAAUCUUCCGCAAUGGGCGAAAGCCUGACGGAGAAACGCCGCGUGAGUGAUAAAGGUCUUCGGAUCGUAAAACUCUGUUAUUAGGGAAGAACAUAUGUGUAAGUAACUGUGAACAUCUUGACGGUACCUAAACAGAAAGCCACGGCUAACUACGUG